RNAcentral lists this ribosomal RNA (402 nucleotides) under uncultured bacterium. Its description in RNAcentral is "bacterial SSU rRNA". It matches the Rfam family "Bacterial small subunit ribosomal RNA", at positions 355 to 774 of the family's 1533-position model. The record is from RNAcentral.
UGGGGAAUCUUGCACAAUGGGGGCAACCCUGAUGCAGCGACGCCGCGUGAGCGAUGAAGCCCUUCGGGGCGUAAAGCUCUUUCGACCGGAACGAUAAUGACGGUACCGGGAGAAGAAGCUGCGGCUAACUACGUGCCAGCAGCCGCGGUAAUACGUAGGCAGCAAGCGUUGUUCGGAGUUACUGGGCGUAAAGAGUGAGUAGGCGGUUUUCUAAGUUCGGUGUGAAAUCUCCCGGCUUAACUGGGAGGGUGCGCCGAAGACUGGGAAGCUGGAGUGUGGGAAAGGCAGGCGGAAUUCCUGGUGUAGCGGUGAAAUGCGUAGAUAUCAGGAGGAACACCGGCGGUGUAGACGGCUUGCUAGACCAUAACUGACGCUGAGGCACGAAAGCGUGGGUAGCAAACA